AGCGAACGCUGGCGGCAGGCCUAACACAUGCAAGUCGAACGAACUCUUCGGAGUUAGUGGCGGACGGGUGAGUAACACGUGGGAACGUGCCUUUAGGUUCGGAAUAACUCAGGGAAACUUGUGCUAAUACCGAAUGUGCCCUUCGGGGGAAAGAUUUAUCGCCUUUAGAGCGGCCCGCGUCUGAUUAGUUAGUUGGUGAGGUAAAGGCUCACCAAGGCGACGAUCAGUAGCUGGUCUGAGAGGAUGAUCAGCCACAUUGGGACUGAGACACGGCCCAAACUCCUACGGGAGGCGGCAGUGGGGAAUCUUGCGCAAUGGGCGAAAGCCUGACGCAGCCAUGCCGCGUGAAUGAUGAAGGUCUUAGGAUUGUAAAAUUCUUUCACCGGGGACGAUAAUGACGGUACCCGGAGAAGAAGCCCCGGCUAACUUCGUGCCAGCAGCCGCCGUAA
Molecule: ribosomal RNA, 449 nt
Filed under: uncultured bacterium
Lineage: Bacteria
Description: partial 16S ribosomal RNA
Rfam family: Bacterial small subunit ribosomal RNA
Source: RNAcentral